RNAcentral lists this ribosomal RNA (587 nucleotides) under uncultured bacterium. RNAcentral describes it as "bacterial SSU rRNA". It matches the Rfam family "Bacterial small subunit ribosomal RNA", at positions 409 to 996 of the family's 1533-position model. The record is from RNAcentral.
AGACGGCCCUAUGGGUUGUAAACUGCUUUUGUACCGGAGAAAACCUUUCCCUGCGGGGAGAGCUGAUCGUACGGUGAGAAUAAGCAUCGGCUAACUUCGUGCCAGCAGCCGCGGUAAGACGAAGGAUGCAAGCGUUAUCCGGAUUCAUUGGGUUUAAAGGGAGCGUAGGCGGUCUAAUAAGUCAGUGGUGAAAUCUCUCGGCUUAACUGAGAAAUGGCCAUUGAUACUGUUGGACUUGAGUACAGAUGCCGUUGGCGGAAUAUGACAUGUAGUGGUGAAAUACAUAGAGAUGUCAUAGAACACCGAUUGCGAAGGCAGCUGACGAAACUGUAACUGACGCUGAGGCUCGAAAGUGUGGGGAUCAAACAGGAUUAGAUACCCUGGUAGUCCACACUGUAAACGAUGAUUACUCGCUGCUGAGGGGUGACCUUCAGUGGCUUAGCGAAAGCGAUAAGUAAUCCACCUGGGGAGUACGCCGGCAACGGUGAAACUCAAAGGAAUUGACGGGGGCCCGCACAAGCGGAGGAGCAUGUGGUUUAAUUCGAUGAUACGCGAGGAACCUUACCAGGGCUUGAAAGUUAGUGANG